Acanthosepion pharaonis is the source of this 101-nucleotide non-coding RNA. The record is from the annotation of a GenBank genome assembly. NCBI's taxonomy places the organism in Eukaryota, Metazoa, Mollusca, Cephalopoda, Sepiida, Sepiidae.
ACAUCACGUUGAAAUACCAGUUCCCGUACGUUCACCAAAGUUAAGCAACAUCGAGCCUGGUCCGUACGUAGAUGGGUGACCCCUUAGGAAUACCAGGUGUU